RNAcentral lists this ribosomal RNA (635 nucleotides) under Nocardia sp. RNAcentral's name for it is "bacterial SSU rRNA". It matches the Rfam family "Bacterial small subunit ribosomal RNA", at positions 63 to 715 of the family's 1533-position model. The record is from RNAcentral. Lineage: Bacteria; Bacillati; Actinomycetota; Actinomycetes; Mycobacteriales; Nocardiaceae.
CGAGCGGUAAGGCCCUUCGGGGUACACGAGCGGCGAACGGGUGAGUAACACGUGGGUGAUCUGCCUCGCACUCUGGGAUAAGCCUGGGAAACUGGGUCUAAUACCGGAUAUGAGCACCGAGUGCAUGCUUGGUGUUGGAAAGGUUUACUGGUGCGAGAUGGGCCCGCGGCCUAUCAGCUUGUUGGUGGGGUAAUGGCCUACCAAGGCGACGACGGGUAGCCGGCCUGAGAGGGCGACCGGCCACACUGGGACUGAGACACGGCCCAGACUCCUACGGGAGGCAGCAGUGGGGAAUAUUGCACAAUGGGCGAAAGCCUGAUGCAGCGACGCCGCGUGAGGGAUGACGGCCUUCGGGUUUUAAACCUCUUUCGACAGGGACGAAGCGCAAGUGACGGUACCUGUAGAAGAAGCACCGGCCAACUACGUGCCAGCAGCCGCGGUAAUACGUAGGGUGCGAGCGUUGUCCGGAAUUACUGGGCGUAAAGAGCUUGUAGGCGGUCUGUCACGUCGAUUGUGAAAACUCGCGGCUCAACCGCGAGCCUGCAGUCGAUACGGGCAGACUAGAGUACUUCAGGGGAGACUGGAAUUCCUGGUGUAGCGGUGAAAUGCGCAGAUAUCAGGAGGAACACCGGUGG